GUUGUAUGGUUAAGUGACUAAGCGUACACGGUGGAUGCCUUGGCAGUCAGAGGCGAUGAAAGACGUAGUAACUUGCGAUAAGCCCAGAUUAGGUAGUAACAACCAUUUGAGUCUGGGAUUUCUGAAUGGGGAAACCCACGUGCAUAAGCACGUAUCCUUACCUGAAUACAUAGGGUAAGGAGGCGAACCGGGGGAACUGAAACAUCUAAGUACCCCGAGGAAAAGAAAUCAACCGAGAUUCCGAAAGUAGCGGCGAGCGAAAUUGGACUAGCCCUUAAGCUUUACACGCGUUAGACGAACGGUCUGGAAAGUCCGACGAUACAGGGUGAUAGUCCCGUAGUUGACGACGUGUGUUCAGUGAAAUCGAGUAGGGCGGGACACGUGAUAUCCUGUCUGAAUAUGGGGGGACCAUCCUCCAAGGCUAAAUACUACUGACUGACCGAUAGUGAACCAGUACCGUGAGGGAAAGGCGAAAAGAACCCCUGUGAGGGGAGUGAAAUAGAACCUGAAACCGUGUACGUACAAGCAGUAGGAGCAGGCUUUGUCCUGUGACUGCGUACCUUUUGUAUAAUGGGUCAGCGACUUAUAUUCAGUGGCAAGGUUAACCAUCUAGGGGAGCCGUAGGGAAACCGAGUCUUAACUGGGCGUUCAGUCUCUGGAUAUAGACCCGAAACCAGGUGAUCUAGCCAUGGGCAGGUUGAAGGUUGAGUAACAUCAACUGGAGGACCGAACCGACUAAUGUUGAAAAAUUAGCGGAUGACUUGUGGCUAGGGGUGAAAGGCCAAUCAAACCUGGAGAUAGCUGGUUCUCCCCGAAAGCUAUUUAACCCUUUGCAAACUCCGAAUACCAGUAAGUACUAUCCGGGAGACACACGGCGGGUGCUAACGUCCGUCGUGGAGAGGGAAACAACCCAGACCGCCAGCUAAGGUCCCAAAUUACUACUAAGUGGGAAACGAUGUGGGAAGGCUCAGACAGCCAGGAUGUUGGCUUAGAAGCAGCCAUCAUUUAAAGAAAGCGUAAUAGCUCACUGGUCGAGUCGGCCUGCGCGGAAGAUGUAACGGGGCUAAGUAGUAAACCGAAGCUGCGGCAAUAUACUUUUGUAUAUUGGGUAGGGGAGCGUUCUGUAAGCGGUUGAAGGUGUGUGGUAACGCAUGCUGGACGUAUCAGAAGUGCGAAUGCUGACAUGAGUAACGAUAAAGGGGGUGAAAAACCUCCUCGCCGGAAGACCAAGGGUUCCUGUCCAACGUUAAUCGGGGCAGGGUAAGUCGACCCCUAAGGCGAGGCCGAAAGGCGUAGUCGAUGGGAAACGGGUUAAUAUUCCCGUACUUCUUACAAUUGCGAUGGGGGGACGGAGAAGGCUAGGUGGGCCUGGCGACGGUUGUCCAGGUUCAAGUGCGUAGGCUUGAGAGUUAGGUAAAUCCGGCUCUCUUUAAGGCUGAGACACGACGUCGAGCAUCUACGGAUGUGAAGUCAUUGAUGCCAUGCUUCCAGGAAAAGCCUCUAAGCUUCAGAUUGUAAGGAAUCGUACCCCAAACCGACACAGGUGGUCGGGUAGAGAAUACCAAGGCGCUUGAGAGAACUC
Molecule: ribosomal RNA, 1582 nt
Filed under: Vibrio parahaemolyticus
Lineage: Bacteria; Pseudomonadati; Pseudomonadota; Gammaproteobacteria; Vibrionales; Vibrionaceae
Description: partial 23S ribosomal RNA
Rfam family: Bacterial large subunit ribosomal RNA
Source: RNAcentral